CUCAGGACGAACGCUGGCGGCGUGCCUAAUACAUGCAAGUCGAGCGGGUUGAUGGGAGCUUGCUCCCUGAUAUUAGCGGCGGACGGGUGAGUAACACGUGGGCAACCUGCCCUGCAGAUGGGGAUAACUCCGGGAAACCGGGGCUAAUACCGAAUAAUCAGUUCUUCCGCAUGGAAGAACUCUGAAAGACGGUUUCGGCUGUCACUGCAGGAUGGGCCCGCGGCGCAUUAGCUAGUUGGUGGGAUAACGGCCUACCAAGGCGACGAUGCGUAGCCGACCUGAGAGGGUGAUCGGCCACACUGGGACUGAGACACGGCCCAGACUCCUACGGGAGGCAGCAGUAGGGAAUCUUCCACAAUGGACGAAAGUCUGAUGGAGCAACGCCGCGUGAGCGAAGAAGGUUUUCGGAUCGUAAAGCUCUGUUGCGAGGGAAGAACAAGUACGGGAGUAACUGCCCGUACCUUGACGGUACCUCGUCAGAAAGCCACGGCUAACUACGUGCCAGCAGCCGCGGUAAUACGUAGGUGGCAAGCGUUGUCCGGAAUUAUUGGGCGUAAAGCGCGCGCAGGCGGUCCUUUAAGUCUGAUGUGAAAGCCCACGGCUCAACCGUGGAGGGUCAUUGGAAACUGGAGGACUUGAGUACAGAAGAGGAAAGCGGAAUUCCACGUGU
RNAcentral lists this ribosomal RNA (670 nucleotides) under uncultured bacterium. RNAcentral's name for it is "bacterial SSU rRNA". It matches the Rfam family "Bacterial small subunit ribosomal RNA", at positions 23 to 676 of the family's 1533-position model. The record is from RNAcentral.